AGUCGUAACAAGGUAUCCGUAGGUGAACCUGCGGAUGGAUCAUUUCCACUUUUUGCAAUAUGAUUUUUUGUGUUAUUUCAUUUUGUGUUUGAUAUGAUGAGAAUGAUGAGUGCAACUAGUAAUGUUGAACCAUUAUUUUCAUUGUUGAACAAAAUGAUUUGACACAAAAAUCAUAUUUCAUUUCAAUAACCAUACAAACGUGAAUUGUUCUUGUACAUUACAUUAUUACAAACGAUUUUCAUGUCGUAAAACUUUUUAUCGAAUUGGUAUUUCUCUUUUGAUAAACAUAACCAAAAACAACUCUUAACAACGGAUGUCUUGGUUCUC
Molecule: unclassified non-coding RNA, 327 nt
Filed under: fungal sp.
Lineage: Eukaryota; Fungi
Description: partial internal transcribed spacer region
Rfam family: Eukaryotic small subunit ribosomal RNA (bases 1-45)
Source: RNAcentral